GUGGAUUAGAUACCCUAGUAGUCCACGCCGUAAACGAUGAGUGCUAGAUGUAGGGAGCUAUAAGUUCUCUGUAUCGCAGCUAACGCAAUAAGCACUCCGCCUGGGGAGUACGACCGCAAGGUUGAAACUCAAAGGAAUUGACGGGGGCCCGCACAAGCGGUGGAGCAUGUGGUUUAAUUCGAAGCAACGCGAAGAACCUUACCAGGUCUUGACAUACUCGUGCUAUUCCUAGAGAUAGGAAGUUCCUUCGGGACACGGGAUACAGGUGGUGCACGGCCGUCGACAGCU
This 288-nucleotide ribosomal RNA is filed under the name uncultured bacterium. RNAcentral's name for it is "partial 16S ribosomal RNA". It matches the Rfam family "Bacterial small subunit ribosomal RNA", at positions 773 to 1060 of the family's 1533-position model. The record is from RNAcentral.